Molecule: long non-coding RNA, 684 nt
Filed under: Homo sapiens (human)
Lineage: Eukaryota; Metazoa; Chordata; Mammalia; Primates; Hominidae
Description: HSALNT0038652
Source: RNAcentral
CCCAGCUUUCUGCUGGAGCAGGGGAACAGGGAAGAUGGCCCGAGAAGGCCUUGGCAUUGCAGUGACCCCCUCCCGCCCCCCGCAUCCGAUUCAAUACGAGGAAGGAGGGUCAGUGGGAAAAGAGCCCCGGGACAACCACCCGCACCCCUACAGGAGUCAAAGGGAAGAGAAGGAAGACAGUUAAUUCUGGGACAAGCAAAAAGAACGGUUUUGGAGUCACGGGGGCGUUCCUGCACAAAGGACUUGGAUGUUGUGUUUUUUCUUCUUUUCUGGCGUUUUCCGUUCCCAGCUUUGAAGUCGGGUUCAGACCUCCUGGAGACCACGGACUGAGCGGAGGGGUGGGGGUAGCAGAACCCAGAAGCCGCGCUGGCCCCUCCUCAAUCGCUCCCACACUCUCACAAGCCCAAGGCCAGUCUGUGUGGACACCGAACGCGCCAAGCCGGAUCCAGGCGAGAGCGGCCACUCGGACAGGUGGGGACCAGGGGUGGGAGAGGGUCCCCUAGGCCUGAGAACACCGACCUCGGGGAAUUUUUUGGGGAGUGGGAGGGAGCCAUACAGGGAGAAAAGCAAAAUAAAAAAAUAGAAGAAAAUUCAGGCGUAGACAUUGAAUUAACUCCGGAUUUUUUCUUUUUUUCGGCGAAAGAGAAAGGGGUUAAACCCAAAUUCGGGUCUGGGUUCUGGGGU